GGGGCCGACCUGGUUUCGACGUGGGUGCGGAUUCGGGACAGGGCAUGUCGAGGGCCAGGCACCUCGUAAAUCCAUCUGGAAAAAAACUAACUGCAAACGACGAAUCGUUCGCACUCGCCGCUUAAUACCGGUGAGCCUCGCAACAGUUGGCCGAUGGGCUGGGCUGUAGUCGCAAGACGAUAGCUGCGAGGUCAUUCACAUUGGCUGGGUUCCUGCCGGGUCACUCGGUAGGGAUCGAGAUUAAGUGACUGGCUGGCCUGGUAGCGUGCUGCUGCGCGAUCAGGUCGGUGAGAUUCAAAUCAGACAGCUACACAUGUAGAUCUGCUCGAUGAUGGCUUACGGACGGGGGUUCAAUUCCCCCCGGCUCCACCA
This is a non-coding RNA of Aquabacterium sp. NJ1, 372 nucleotides long. It matches the Rfam family "transfer-messenger RNA". Rfam says of the family: Bacterial tmRNA, also known as 10Sa RNA or SsrA, is named for its dual tRNA and mRNA-like properties. The record is from Rfam. NCBI's taxonomy places the organism in Bacteria, Pseudomonadati, Pseudomonadota, Betaproteobacteria, Burkholderiales, Sphaerotilaceae.